ACGGCUACCUUGUUACGACUUAGCCCCAGUCACCAGUUUUGCCCUAGGACGCUCCUCGCGGUCACGUACUUCAGGCACCCCCGGCUCCCAUGGCUUGACGGGCGGUGUGUACAAGGCCCGGGAACGUAUUCACCGCGCCAUGGCUGAUGCGCGAUUACUAGCGAAUCCAGCUUCAUGGAGUCGAGUUGCAGACUCCAAUCCGAACUGAGACAGGCUUUCGGGUUCCGCUCCCUGUCACCAGGUGGCUUCCCGCUGUACCUGCCAUUGUAACACGUGUGUCGCCCCGGACGUAAGGGCCGUGCUGAUUUGACGUCAUCCCCGCCUUCCUCGCAGCUUGCGCCGGCAGUCCCGCCAGAGUUCCCGGCUUUACCCGUUGGCAACUGGCGGUAGGGGUUGCGCUCGUUAUGGCACUUAAGCCGACACCUCACGGCACGAGCUGACGACAACCAUGCAGCACCUCGACUCAGACCAUUGCUGGCUACAUCGUUUCCAAUAUAUUCCUGAGUCGUUUGAGCCCGGGUAAGGUUCCUCGCGUAUCAUCGAAUUANACCACAUGUUCCUCCGCUUGUGCGGGCCCCCGUCAAUUCCUUUGAGUUUCACCGUUGCCGGCGUACUCCCCAGGUGGAG
Molecule: ribosomal RNA, 627 nt
Filed under: uncultured bacterium
Lineage: Bacteria
Description: partial 16S ribosomal RNA
Source: RNAcentral